This is a long non-coding RNA of Pseudophryne corroboree (corroboree frog), 302 nucleotides long. RefSeq lists it as uncharacterized. The transcript is spliced from 3 exons. The record is from RefSeq and is a predicted model, not a curated record. Lineage: Eukaryota; Metazoa; Chordata; Amphibia; Anura; Myobatrachidae.
CCCCGCCCACUUCCGGUACAUAGGGUGUGAGCUGCCGCCUUAUCCUCCAGGGUUACACAGUAGUGAAGAAGACAUCCGGUGAGUGUGAGACACCGAGCAGCCAUCCCCGUGUGUCAGGAGGACUGCGCAGGACCCAGAGCCCCAUCACGGUGCCUCCACCUCACUCACUGACACAUGAGACACAUUGACCAGAAGAUCCUGGAACUCCCUAACAAGAUCAUUCAGCUGCUGACUGGAGAGGAGGGGGAGUAUAUAGAGGAACACAGGGGUCUGUACAAGGACGUGAUGAUGGAGAAUCACCG